Molecule: non-coding RNA, 62 nt
Filed under: Aporhodopirellula rubra
Lineage: Bacteria; Pseudomonadati; Planctomycetota; Planctomycetia; Pirellulales; Pirellulaceae
Source: RNAcentral
AGCCGAAACGCAAAUGGGCGUUGUCGCGGGUGGUUCCCGCGGCCUGACGAUGGCAGCCAACC